AAAACAUAAGAUCUUUCAUCAGGUUUGCACAGUUGGGUAUUUUAUCCUUUCUCUACAGCAUAUAGCAGGGGCUUAGGUAAAGCAGGCUGGAUGGUCCUUCUAAUUCACGGGGGGUUAGUUUAGUUUGACUCUGAAAACACAAUAUCUUGGCUGAAGAGCUGCAUUUCUGGUGGCUGUGCAGUGUGCUGGGUGUCCUGCCAAAUAGCUGGGGACUGCGGCGCUAUGUUGUUAAUUCCUUUCUGCCAGUGAGACAUUCCUGUUCAUCUGUUGGACAGUGUCAUAAGUCACUUAUUGGUCUUGCCUGUCGCUGGACAUAGCUGAUACGGUGUGAACUCAGGUAUAGUGUGUAUGCGAGUAGCCAUCGUGCCUUCCUAGAACCAACUUAAUUUAGCUAUUAUCCUGUAAAGAAAGAGGAAAGAAGGUUGAAUAAGCCAAAUUACAUUGGUGGGGUAAAAGAGCCAACACUUUUCCAGAUUUGAAAUGCAAUGACUUUAGAUAUUGACAACUGACAGUUGCUUCAUCAAGGCACAGAAUUUUUCAAAGUAUUUGACAAGGAAAAUACAGAUGCAACAUGAUGAAUUUUCUUGUGGAACAUUUUAAUGGAUAUGCUCAGCUUUCCCAGUGGGAUCUUACUUUCUUAGAGCAGAGAUUAGUCACCAGUUACUUGAUUUGUCUAAACUUUCUGCCAAAAUCAACAAGGAAGGAAUUGACAGGAUGGACUUUAGAAACAAGGACAUUGUGACAUGUUUGAAGAGAACGCAUGCUUAGAGGAGGGUCUACUUCUGUUUCAAAAAGCAGCUUCUUAUCAGCAAAACAACCUCUACUCUUUCCUGUAUGUGUCUUGUCUCUUCCUUGCAGCAAUGCUGAGAAGAUGUUUCAUCUUGUGGGAAGCCAAGGGAAAGCGAUUUACUAAAGGCAGAACGACUUUGCACAUGCUAUUGCAACUCCAGUCAUUCGAUUGAAUUCAGCUAAGACAAGCACUAAAACCAGCUCUGACUGUAAGGAUUUGAAGUCUUAGCAGUUACUACAGGGUCUGUUCUUCUACUGAAUCAACACAUCCUGCAGCUUCUAUGACAAAGGGAAGAAGUACAUACUGGUACAGCAGCACAGGAAAAUACUACCCUGCUCUGUGGUCAUGGGUGACAUAGGGAAAGACAUGUCAGUCUCCCAAGGCAAGUCAAUAGUGCAAAACUUCAGUCGUUGAAAAAUGCCAUUUUUUAAUACACAAAAAUCAAACUUUGCAGCGGAGAUGUGGGGCAGUGCACAGAGCAGUUGUAUCUUUCAGAAAUCUAACUGAACACAAGUAGCCAGGAGUCCAAGUACUAACUUAAACCAGCAAUGAUACCACUUCUCUCUCCGUUCUUCUCCUCACUCUUCCCUGAAACACUACAACCAAAACUGACAGCACACCACAUCUUCCCAAGCCUCAAUAUUCACUCACACAUAGAGGAGAACAUGGGAGGCUUUUUAAAAUCCCUGUGACAACUGGUACUAGAAAACUGUUUAACUACUAGUGGAAUGUCCUCUCAUAAAAUGCCAAACAGUCUUGUGUUUUUCAGGUCAAAAGCUAACAAGAUGAACUGUGAGCUCUUAUUAGUUUUCUGUUCGUCCACAGUAAAAAUAUGGAGUGCUUUAAAAAUGUGGAGAACAUGACAGUGAUUGACAACAAAAGAAGGCAUAUAAGGAGAUACUGUGCUGAAGAAAUUUUAAUUAUUUUAAUUAUUUUUGUAAAACAAAAUUCAUACUGAUAGAGGUUCUUGCAUUUGCAGUGUCAGCCAGGAGCCAGAGCUGUUUUCUCAACCAAGACCCUUACACGCUCUGCCUUACACCCUUAUGAAAGAACACCUAAUUUGGUGUCUUGCAGGAUUAUAAUGUGAAUUCCUUAGUUAAUUACUGAAGAUGCUGUUCCCCUGCCCUAUGCUCAGUGCACUGAUUUGCACGCUUAGAAGACAAAAGCAAAUUGCAGAACACAGAGAUUUGAACGUAAACCCAUUGCUAAACUUUGGCCUGGCAGCAUCAAGUUGUUCUUCUGAUCAUUCACAUUUACAGAAGGAACAGUAGGUAAAGGCACAUAUAUGCAACUGUGAAGCCUUGGAGAUCUUCUGGAGAUGGAUGCAGGCAGGGCAUUCCAGCUUGGAAGUCCCCAAGAGCAGCAUAACAAGUAUAAUCAUUAUGUCCUUCUACUUAUUCUGGCCUUGUAUAAGAUGAAGCUGUGUGUCAUACUUAAUAUUAAAUGGACUGAAAAGGUCACUUGGUUUCUCUUUAAUUC
Neopelma chrysocephalum (saffron-crested tyrant-manakin) is the source of this 2269-nucleotide long non-coding RNA. RefSeq lists it as uncharacterized. The transcript is spliced from 3 exons. The record is from RefSeq and is a predicted model, not a curated record. Lineage: Eukaryota; Metazoa; Chordata; Aves; Passeriformes; Pipridae.